RNAcentral lists this transfer RNA (73 nucleotides) under Mercenaria mercenaria. RNAcentral's name for it is "transfer RNA threonine (anticodon UGU)". It matches the Rfam family "tRNA". Rfam says of the family: Transfer RNA (tRNA) molecules are approximately 80 nucleotides in length. Lineage: Eukaryota; Metazoa; Mollusca; Bivalvia; Venerida; Veneridae. The record is from RNAcentral.
GCCUCCAUAGCUCAGCGGUUAGAGCACUGGUCUUGUAAACCAGGGGUCGUGAGUUCGAUUCUCACUGGGGGCU